UGAUUGCUCCUGGACAGACCACUACUGUUUUAAUGACUGCAAACCAAGUUCCAGACUUCACAGGCAUGUUUGUCAUGGCAGCAAGGCCUUAUCUUACCUCUGUGUUCCCCUUCAACAACUCCACCACAAUCGGCUUCUUGAGGUACAAAAAUGCAAGGACCUGGAAAGGAAAAUCCCCAGUUGAUCCGAGCAGCCUUAGACUUCACAACCUUCCAGCAAUGGAAGACACUGCAUUUGCCACAAAAUUUUCGGACAAGAUUAAAAGUCUUGCAUCUCCUCAGUACCCAUGUAAUGUGCCUAAAACAAUUGACAAACGAGUGAUAACAACUAUAAGUCUUAACCUUCAAGACUGUCCAGAAAACAAAACCUGCUUGGGCUUAAAGGGCAAGAGUUUCUUCGCUUCAAUGAACAACCAAUCAUUCGUUCGCCCUUCCAUCUCAAUAUUGGAAAGCUAUUACAAGAACCUCACCACCAGUAGUUUCUCCUCUGAUUUCCCACAAAAACCACCAAAUAAUUUUGAUUAUACUGGUGUGCAUCCAUUGACUCAAAACAUGAACACGAAAUUCGGCACGAAACUUUUAGUACUGCCUUAUGGCACAAACAUAGAAAUUGUGUUGCAAGACACAAGUUUUCUUAAUUUGGAGAACCAUCCAAUUCAUGUCCAUGGUCACAACUUCUUCAUUGUUGGGAGUGGAUUUGGAAACUUCAACGAAGCCAGGGAUCCGAAAAGAUACAAUCUUGUCGAUCCUCCAGAAAGGAACACAGUGGCAGUUCCAAGUGGGGGAUGGGCUGCUAUUAGGAUCAAGGCAGAUAAUCCAGGAGUUUGGUUCGUACAUUGUCACCUUGAGCAACAUACUUCAUGGGGUCUAGCAACUGGCUUUAUUGUCCAAAAUGGUCAGGGACCAUCUCAAAGCUUGCUUCCCCCCCCUCAUGAUCUCCCCUCCUGCUAAUUAAUCGUCUUCUUAAGCUACUAGUCAAUGCCUCGCUGCAUUUAAUGUACUUAAUUACUUUUACAUGUUUUUUUCCUUAAAUUUUUACGAGUGCAUCAAAUAGUUUUGUAUGAUACAUAUAGUUGAAAUAUAGUUUGUGAUAAUUAGUUUGUGAUAAUUAAGUGGUUUAUAGAAUCAGGUAGCCAUCUCUGUUAUUUAUAUGAUUAAGGCAAUACAUGUGUUACGGUAUAACAUACUACACAUGAUAAGUCAAUAUAUCAAUAAUACAAUAAUUUCUAUUCUACAAUACAUUCCAUAAUACUCCCCCUCAAGCUGAAGGUGGGUGAUCCACAUGAAGCUUGGAAUGUAUAAGAGAAAAAAUAAAGUGAGAGAGUGGCUUUGUAAGGACAUCUGCUAAUUGAUCUUUAGAGGAGAUGAAGCGAAUUUGAAUCUCUCUUUUAGCUAUUCGAUCACGAACAAAGUGAUAAUUAACUUUAACAUGUUUUGUUCGAGCAUGAAAAAUCAGGGUAGCAUACAGAUAAGUAGCACCCAAAUUAUCGCACUAGAUAAUAGUAACAGAACUAGGAAAAAAACACAAAUUUGAUUGAAGAUAACGGAGCCAAAGAACUUUAGUAGUACCAUCAGUCAAAGCCUUAUACUCUAAUUCAGUAGAGGAACGAGCAACAGUGCAUUGCUUCCCAGAUUUCCAUGAAAUAGGGGUCGUACCAAGAAAGACAAUAUAUCCACUAGUAGAUUUUCGAUCAUCAAUACUCCCCGCCCAAUCAGCAUCAGUAAAGCCAUGAAGUGAGAAAGAGGAGUCACGAGUAAGGUGGAGGCCAAAAGAGGACGUACCUUUCAAGUAGCGCAUGAUACGUUUAACAGCAGCCCAAUAGGUCUCAGUAGAAGCAUGCAUAAACUGAUAGACCCUAUUUACAGCAUAACAGAUGUCUGGUCUAGUAAACGUGAGAUAUUGAAGAGCACCAAUAAUUUUUCUGGUCUAGUAAUAGUUGGUUUAACCACAAAACUGAAGGUUUCUAAGUAAUCAUUGCCUUCCUGUUGAGUGAACCCUCGCGUAACCAAGCGAGCUUUGUAGCGAUCAAUAGCACCAUCAGCUUAGCGUUUAAUUUUGUACACCCACCGGCAGCCAACCACAUUCAUUGAGGGAUCAAAUGGUACCAAGGACCAAGUAUCAUUGACAUGUAAAGCUGCAAUUUCAGAGUUCAUAACAAUAUGCCAGCAUAUAAAAUGGCCAGCCUCUUUAAAAUUAAGAGGCUCGAGAGUGGGAGGAGACAUUACACGUGGGAUUGAAGUCUGUGAUGAGGAAAUAGAGACCACAGUGGUGUUGAUUGUACUGUCUAGGACGCACACCAUGUGGUGCUGGAGAAGCAGGGGACCUGACAAGGGAUGUCUGUCGUGGAAGAGAGUACCUAGAAAGAUCAACACAGAGUUCCAGACCUGGUAGAGACCGAGUAGACGAUCUGAGUGGAAAGGUAGAGUUGUAUAAUUGUGUUGGAGAGACAACAGUUAGGGGAGAAGCAAGCACAGAUAAUGUCGGUGUUGCAGACCCUUUACCUGCACAAUGAUUAAAAGAUAUGAAGGCAGAUGGUGGUAAGGGGUCAGAGGGUGCAAGUGGUGUGGCUGAUGGGGUUGUGGUUGAAAACAAUGGUGAGGGAGGGGAGGUGGGUGACAGUGGUAAGCGGAUGGGUAUGGCUGGUGGAUGCAAGAAUAUUGGCAGACUCCAGAAACAGAAAGAAUUGUUCAUGAAAUUGAACACGACGAGAGAUGUAGAUACGAUUAGACGAUAAAUCGAGACAACAAUAUCCUAGAUGAGAUGAAUUGUAGCUUAAAAACACACAUAGAGUGGAGAUAUAGUCUAACUUAUGAGCAUUAUAAGGUCAAAGAAAGGGAAAAUAUAGACACCUGAAAGUACAUAAGUAGGCAUAAUUAGGCGCCUAAUGAAACAGACAUUCAAAAGGAGAUUUGUUGUAUAAAACAAGUGUGGCAUAUGAUUAAUGAGGUAAACAGAGGUUUCAAAAGCAUAUGUCCAAAAUUUUAAAGGUGCCUUACAAUGACCAAGAAGAGUAAGACCAGUUUCGACAAUAUGACGAUGACGACGCUCAAUAGUGCAAUUAUGUUCAUGUGUGUAUGGGCAUAUUAAGCGAUGAUGAAUACCAAUGGUUUUAAAAAAAUGAAUUUAGUUUACAAUAUUCACCACCCAAUCAAUUUGAACAAAUUUGAUUUUCUAAGAGAACUAUCGUUCAACUAGGACUUGAAAUUGAUGAAACACAUUGAAAACAUCAAAUUUGACGACAAAAGGAUAAAACUAGAUAAAUUUUGUAUGCGCAUUCACAAAAAUAACAAAAUAUCAAAAACUAUCCGAAGAUAACAUAGGAGCAGGGCCCCAAACAUCACUAAAAACAAGUUCAAGAGGAGCACACAUUUUAUGACCUGUAGGCCCUAAGGGCAGACAAGAUGAUUUUUCUAAUGGACACGCUUGACAUUGAAAAUUUAAAUGAUGAGAAGUACAAACAACCUUUUUAUUUGACGCUAAGAGAUUCAGAACACUAGAGCUUGGGUGACUGAGUUGACGAUGCCAAACAUUAGCAGAAGUGGAUUGAAAAGCUUGGGGCAUACACGUGGCAAAGGACUAAAAAAGAAUAUAGAGGCCAUAUUUACUCUGACCGAAAAGAAGAACUGUUUUGGUUAUGAGAUCCUUGAAAUAGAAAACAGAGAAAGUGAAACAAAAAAAAAACAAUUUUCUCGACAAAAUUGUUGAACAGAUAAAAGUCUUUUUUAAUUUGCGGAACAUGUAGGAUAUUAGACAAAGUAAAGGUUCGUUUUAGAGUAUGCAAAAUAUUGUGAGUUGUAUUAGAUAUAAUAAGUCUCUUACCAUCACCAACAUAUAAUUGAUCAUUACCGAGAUAAGGUUAUGCAUGAGUCAUACCGAUAAUGUUUAGAGUAACAUGUUGAUUCGCAUCCGUGUCAGGAAACCAAGUGAUAAAAUUUGCUGCUGAAGCAUCACUAAAGGAGAAGUUGGUCGAAGCUUGAUUCCCAUGAUGCACAAGCUGAGAACAUUAUUGUGCAGAGUGUCCAAAGAUGCUGGAAAGUUGGCAUCUAAUCUGUUGUGGCCACUAGUUCUGCCCUACUGGCUUCUACUGCUGCUAGUUGCUAUCAUAGUUACAGGUAUUCUGCUAAAAGAAGCCCCCACUAUUUCCACCGUAAGGCUGACUAUUAUAUUGGUUGUAGUUACUGCGAGAACGUCCCCUCCAACCUCUUCUUCCCCUACCUCGAUGAGAAGAGGAGUUGCUGCCAUUAAAUCCAGCAAAUGUACAUUGUGCAGCAUAGGCAGAUGGAGGGUGUGAAGGUGUGGGCAACAGUGAUGCAAUAGUUGGAAUGGAUUGAAGAGAGCUCCAAUGUAAAAACUCGUGCGUAGACAGGUGACUAUGGAGCUCAAACUACGCAAAAGGCUCAAUUUUAGUCGACAGACUUGUAACCAAAUCUUGAAAUUCACCACGAAGGCCCCGAAAAAAAUAAAGGUUGAAAUCAGUGAGGGAGAUCGGUCUGUCCACUGCAGUUAGUUUGUCAAAUAAUCCCUUAGCUUUUUACAGGUAGAGAGUGAAAAUAUCAUCAUCUUAACGAAAGUCCUGAAGAGAGCCAUGAAAUUGCAUAAUCCUAGAGUUGGAUGAAGAAGCAAGAGCAUGUUCUAAGGUACCCAAACACUAGCCGAAGUUGGGCAGUCCACCACAAGGUGAAGAACAUCAAUGGAGAGGGAUGAUAGUAAAGCACUGAGGAUGAGUUGGUCCUGUUGUUUCCAUAUUAGAAACACUUGGGAAGGACCAGCACUAAAGCUGGCAGAGGCGGUAAAGAAGUAACUGGAUAGGUCAAGUAAAGAGGGGCAUGAAUGCGAGCCAUCGACAAACAAGAAAACCCCUUGGCCAAACAGAUAUGACUUCAUUUGCAUACGCCAAAACAUAUAAUUAGAGUUUGUGAGUUUUAGGUUGAUGACCUGUUGUGUGUUUGAGAGGGGAAUAAUAGCUGCUGUCGCAGCAAAAGGCAGCAUGACUACGUUGAUGUUUGGAGAAGAUAUCUUGUCAUUGGUGAUGGGAGAAGAAGAGCUGACAUUGAUGCCAGCUGUAGCAACAACCGAAGGAUCCAUAUUGCAGAAGAUGAGUAGAGCACUUAAUUUUCUAAGUAGAAAGCAGAUAGACUACAGAAGUGUAGAGAAAUCGUUGGAGAGAAAUAGAUAGGAGACAGAUUUGUAGAGAAAUCGUUGUAGAGCAGAAGAAGUAGUAGCAAAUUCAAAUAAACAACAAAAAUUGUUUUAGAAUAGUAGAAGCAGUAGCAAAAUUAAAUUUCUCAAUCGGGAGCAGACCUCAACAGACCCAAACAUGCAUAAGGCAGAAGCUGUAAUUUAAGUCGGUUUAAAAACAAGAAGAAGGGAAAAGCAAACUGUAAUUAAUUAAGCUACAACACCAAUGCGUUCCAACUGCUAUUUGAAGGGAAGGUGAAGGAGAGGAAAACAUAAAUCUAUUUAGAUAAAGAGACUCUGAUACAAAGUUGAAACAAGGUUUGAGAUAAUUAAAUGGCUUCCAGAAUCAGGUAGCCACCUCUGCUAUUUAUAUGAUUAGGGCAGCGCAUGUGUUACGGUAUACCAUACUAUACAUGAUAAGUCAAUACAUUAAUAAUACAUCAAUAAUAUAAUAUUUCCUAUUCUACAAUGCAUUCCAUAAUACAUAUGUUAGUGAUACUUGUGAAUAGGCGAGUGCAGAAGAAUAAUGAAGUUUUGUGACUGAUAAUCGUAGUACAGCUUGUAUAAAUUUGUGGUUUUUGGGCGAGGCAAAGUAAUGCAGUGAGGCUAGGGAUUAUCCGACAAGCUUAUGUUUCAUAACAUUAUUUUCCUUUGAUUGUUUGAUAAUGUAUGUUCUUUUUGUGGGAAAAUGCUAAACUGUGCGCAACCACACACACAGACAGAGAACAUAAAAAAAAAUCAAGUUUACUGACAUGAACAUUCAACAAUAAGAAUUCAAUAAACAGACAACAAAAUUAACUAAUAUGCCCUGAUAUUCAGAACACCAAUUAUGGUAUGCAUUGAGGCAGCAUUCGGCGUUGUGGUAAGCAUUGAAGUAUUUAUGCUUUUUAUUUCUGAAACUUGAGAGGUCGAGAUUCAUGGGAAUGAGUCAAGGUGAUUCUAAUUAUCAUGAUAGCAUCUUGCAAAAUCACCAAAAUGUUUCAAAGAUCUGUGGGAAUUAACUAAGCUCUUAAAGUGUCAUGAUAGUAAGUUGAAAAAGAAGAGCAAAUGUGUGGAAGUGAUAAAGAAAUUUAAAAGUUUCUUCAAGGUGGUGGUAUCAAGACUCAAGAGUGAUUGUCCUUGCAAAUAUAUCUUUUUUCACUUUAAUUGAUUGCUGCCGGUUAGGAAUACAAUGCAUCUGGCACCCAUAGAACCAAAAAGAAAAUAUUUAUACUUUUCUUUGUUUUUUGAGCUAUAAUCUCUACCAUUGACCUUUUAUAUUCUUCUUCCCAUGGCCGUAGCUUUUCUGAAAACAUGUUCUUUUCUUGUUUUAAUGUAAGAAGAUUCAGGCUAGAACUUUAUGUCGAUGCUUUAUAUUAAUUUCAGCUCUUUCUAGCGUAAAAGGUAGAAGUGUAUAGUCUAAAAGCUUUAAGUGAAUGAAAAGAGCUUCGGCAGGUCUUUUUGUGUUGAUAAGUUUCUUGCCAGAGUCAAACUGACAUCAUUAUUUAUUUAUUUAUUAACAUGGAUGUCUGUGUCAGCUUGCGUGUACCUUAACUAAUCUUACGAGCCCUGAAGUUAAUAACCAUGUAAGCCUCAAGUUGCCUUGAGGUUUGUGUGACUCGAACUGGUGACUUUUAGGGAGCAAACCUAGGGUCUGACCAGCAAACUAACAUCAAUCUUGAAACAUGUGUAGCUUGAGGUGUUAAUACCUAUCAAAUACCGUCUUACCAUGUUUUUGAAAUUAUAUUUAUAUAUAUUAAUUAUUAAAAGCACCCCUAACAAUCUUUAAAUCUAUAAUAAAACCAAAUUAAAGAUGAUAAAAAAAACCGCUAUAAGAGAAUUAAGUUGGUUUUUUCAUUAAAAACAUCAAAGUAAUUACAAUAUUUUUAAAAAUUAAAAAGACCAAAACGUACCAAUCUAACCCUAUACAAUUUGUCAGCAUGAUAUUUUUUUUUAUUCUAGGGUUAAAUUCAUAUUUUUACUAUGCAAAAAACAAAAAUCAAAUGACCAAUCUAACCCUAUAUAAUUAGUAAAAAAUAAUUAUAUCAAGUUGAAAAGACCAUUUUAUCCCCAAUACCUAGUUAAAAAGUUUUUUGAGCUAAGAAAAUUCCAGCAAAUCACAAUUAUAAUGAAUAGUAAUUGGAGUCUUGGGCUACAAUAAUUUUUCAUUCACCUUUAGUAUUUUUCCAAAUGGUAAUUAAUUGAUUAAGAUGAAACUCGAAUUCAAAACAUUGUCUUAAGUUGGUGUAUAAAAGAGACUAAAACUUAAUAUCUUUUAUAAGAAAAAAACCAAUUAACAAAAACCUAAAAAGGUAUAGCGUAUGUAUUGUGCUUUCACUGUAUCUAUCGAGGGGAAACAUUAUGAAUUGUAAUAGCAUUUUCUUUUUUAUCCUUUAAUUUUAUUUCACUUUGAUCAUCAAAUUUUUUUUUUUAAUUUUGUCCUUGUAUAUUGUGUUGAAUGAGGAUUUAGCUUGAUUAUUUGUUUUAGUUUACUUUCUAAAAGGCUUUCUAAAUCUAAAUGAAAAUCUCGAUGUUGGAUUAAUGCUUGAUUUCAAAUGAAAAAAAUUAGUUUUGUUGCUUGAAAACAAAUUGGGGACCAAAAUUGACAAUGAGAGAGAUUCAAGUUUUUUUUCUUUCAAUAUUGUUUAAGGGGCAUUUCUUUAACAUUUUUUGCCUUAAAAUUUUUGUCAAAUUCAAUUAUGGUCCUUUAGUUUGAUACUAUUUUGUUUUGGUACAAAACAUCAUUUUGUUCAUAUGUUAGUCCUUAGGUUUGAGAGAUUCGAGAGAUUCGAGAGAAAAUCACUUUUAAACAAAUAAGAAGAGAGAAAGUAAUUGGUUCUCUACACCACAAAAACAAAAAAUAGUUGAUAUUGGUAUCAACAAGUUUCAUUUGAUGAGAUAAAUUUUAUUUAGUGUUUUUAACCCAUAAUAUCGCUUCAAAAUUUAGAUUGGGGCAUGUGAAUUCUUUUUCAUUUCAAGUUGAUUUUUGGUUUUCUAAUCGAUUAAAGGUUGUUUUAAGAUUAUCUAUGGGUUUGUUGAGGUGUAUAAGGUAUUUUUAUAGGUGGUUUUAGAUGAGAAAUAUGUUUAUUUAGGCACCAAUGAGUGGAGCUUGAAUUUCCUUCCACCUUAGAUGGCUAGAGGAGAAUUAAAAGGUAACGUGUAACCUGUUAUUUUUUUCUUAAAUAAAACAAAAGGAGGUGGAUUAUACUAUAAAGAAAAAAGGAGGCAUGACAUAUGGGCCAGACCUUGUCUGUGGGCUAAACACGUAUGCCCACCUAAGGCCACACAAUUUACUUGUUUUAUUGUUUGCUUUUUUCUUCUAGAAUUUUUUAAUUAAAAAACAUUAAAAUAUAUUAAUUAAAAAAUAUUUUAAUAUUUUUUUUAUCAAAUUCCAUUAAAUUUUCACUUUGUUAUUUUGACUUAGAUCAUAGCCUUUUUUAUAUAUAUAUUGGUGAGUGUUUUUUUUUUUUUUUUUUACAGUCCUUCAUAGGGUUAUUUAUUUAUUUGACCACUAUAUAGUUUUUUUUUUGAAUAGUUUUGAUUAAAUAACAUUUCUCAUAUUGUAACAUUAGAAAUAACUUUUUUUGUGCGGCCUUUCAUCAGUUUUUGUUUUAAAUUUAUUUGACCGCUAAAUUUUCUUUGGAUAUUAUUUGAUUAAAUUGACUUUGAUUUCAUUUUAUAACAUUAGUAAACACUUUUUUUGUGUGGCCUUUCACUAUGAGUAUUUUUUUCUUAAAUUUUAUUGGGUUGAUUUUUAUUAUAGUAUAAUCAAAUAAAAAAUAUAUUCCAAAAAGAUUAACAACGAAUCCUGGAAAGUUGAACUAGGUCCGAUAUGAGUGAUACAAUGAAAACCUAUCCCAAGGUAUCAACUCCAUUAGAAUAAAAACCCCUACUCGACGAAUACUAAUUUGUGAACGAGAAGUAUAAUGAAGACAUCAUGAAACCACUUAAUCUUUGAUAAGCCAAUUUAGUUUUUAAGAGAACUAAAUAAUGCAAGAACAUUUCUCACAUAAGUUGAAUAAAUUCGGAAGCAAUAGUAUUAUCAAUUCUAAAUAAAAAAAAGUGUCUUGCAUGAAGUUUCACUACAAGAUUUAACAGUUUUACCGACAGAAUUUUUCCGUCGGUGUAAGACACAUAUUCCAUCGGUAAUUAUAUUACCGACGGAAUCAAAGACGGAAAUGAUCCGUCGGUGAAUCGUUCGUCGGUAAUGUUUUGUCCGUCAGUAAAUCCGUUGGUAAUAGAAUUACCGAUGGAUUUGCUGACGGAACAGACGCGUCGGUAAUAAUUUUUUUAUUACCAACGGAAUUACCGAGGGAUUUACCGACGGAAGUUCCGUCGGUAAUUCCGUCGGUACUUAUUGAAAAACAUUUUAAAAAAAUUCAUUUUAUAAAAUUAUAAAAUAAUUAAAUUAACACUGUAUGAUAUAUACUCAAAAUGCUUGGAAAAAAAAUAAGAAAAUCAAUUCAAACAAAUUUGCAACAAAUAAAUAAAAUAAAAAAAUAAAUUCAACUAAAAAAAUUCAUAUGAAAAAAAUGAAGUUGUAAUUGCUAAAAAUUUAAAAAUCCUAUAAAUAAAUCUACUAAAAAUUGAUCUCAUAUGAAAAAAAAAUCUCACAACAACAUUUAUACAAUUAUUAAGAACAAAAAAAAUUAAAAAUAAAAUAAAGAACAAAUAUAGUGAAAAAAAUCAUGAAAAAAGAAAAAUCUUACCUUAAUGUAGUUGCAAGUGAAGCUAAGGAGAGAAAAAAAAUUUCAUUAAGCAUAUUAAUUAAAAAAAAAACUAAGAGGAUAAAAGAAGAAAGAAGAAGAAGACAUACCCAAGCAUGGAGGAAAAGAGAAGGAGAUGAGGAGAGAAAAGAAGAGAAAGAAAUAGAUAAGAAAUGAUGUUUUUUACAUAAAGUGAAGAAGAAGAAGAAGACAUACCUUAAUGAUGUUUUUUACAUAUAGUGAAGAAGAAGAAGAAGAAGAAGAAGAAGUAGAAGAACAAGAAGAAGAAGAAUAAUAAUAAGAAACGGGUUUGUCUCUUGUGAAAUAAGGGCAUUCAGGCUUUUUAUAGGGACGCUUUACCGACGGAUUUACCGACGGAUAAUUAAAUAUUAAUAUUUUUUAAUUAUUUCGUCGGUAAUUCCAUCGGUAAUAUUUAAUUUAAAUUUUCAAUCUCGUAAAAUUUUUUCAGAAACCGCCAAAAAAUUACCGAUGAUUUUUCAAUCCGUCGGUGAUUCCGUCUGUAAUAUUUAAAUGAAAAUUUUAAAUUAAUUGAAUUUUUUCAGAAAACCGCCAAAUAACACCGACGACUUUUCAAUCCGUCGGUGAUUUACUCUCUGGAAAAUACCGACGGAAUAUUUCAUCGGUGAUUCCCUUUGUAAUUAACAUGAUGAACAGUGUUCACAAUUUACCAACAAAUUUACCGACGGAAUCACCGACGGAAUUUAUUCCGUCGGUAAUUCCGUUGGUAAAAGUGACACGUCAUCUUUGUUUUAAUUUUUUUUCCCACGGUAAUUCCCUCGGUAUUUCCGUUUGUAUUUAUCAAUUUUCUAGUAGUGUUUUUAUACUCCAAAGAAAAAUAACCUAAUAGAUCUACCAUAGUGAACUGAUUUAAACCCAGUUUGUAUUUAUCAAUUUUCUAGUAGUGUUUUUAUACUCCAAAGAAAAAUAACCUAAUAGAUCUACCAUAGUGAACUGAUUUAAACCCACUUACAAAAAUGAUUCAAAAUAGAUUAUUAAACCUGAAAUUCUAAAAAAACUAUUAAGCCCAAACAAGUCUUGUGCUCUAAAAACAAUUAAAACCAAACAUAAGUUAAUUUCAAAUAAGCGUUGAGUUAUAGAUAAAAUAAAUAGGACCAACUAAGCCCAUAAAAUAACAAACCUAAUGUUUAAAAACCUAAACAUACUAAGACAAAAACCAAAGUUGCCGUGACUUUGGUGUUGGGGUGGUCUUCAAGUUAACUCGUUGUGCUAGGUCAGUUUUGACGCCACCAUCAAAGAGUUUUCCACAACAAUGCACAUCUAGUUAUUGUUCUGAUUUUUUUAAUGCAUUAAUAUCAAAAUUAUUAUAAUUUAUAAAAAAAAACAUAUAUUCAAGUAAAAAAAAGUUAAGUGAAAUAUAAAGCAUGGUGCUAAAAUAAAAGGAGAUUUAAAUUAAAGAGAAGUCUCUCUUUAAUAUCAUAAAACCAGACGAUAGGAAACAUUGAAUCCAAAACAACCUCUUUAGUGAAUUCAGUCCCUGGACUUGCAAUGGACUUGAUCAACACCUUAAUUGGAUUCGUUAAUAUCGUAAACUGAUACGCAUCAUCCAGUUUUGGCUGGUUAACUCGAGUUGAUUCAACAAACAUGGCUUUGUCUCAUUAUAUAAAAGGAAAGGGUUAUUCUAACUACACAAUCUUGAAAAAUUUUAAUCCUUGAUAUAAAACUGGGUCUUAACCAGGUCAUAUUUGAACCCGUCAGGUUGACUAUAUCAAAUCAGGUCAAGUUCCUCUUGGUCUAGUUUAAAACCUGAGCCAAGAAUGGGGUUAGGUUGGGGUGUUCUCCAGGUUAACUUGUUGUGCUGGGACAGUUUUGACACUACAAUCAAAGAGAUUUCCAUGGCAAUGCACAUCCGGUUUAUUGUUCUGAUAUUUUUUAAAUACAUUCACGUCAAAAUUAUUAUAAUUUAUUCAAAAAACAUAUAUUCGGAAAAAAAAAGGUUAAGUGAAAAAUAAAGCAUAUUGCUAAAAUAAAAGGAGUUUUAAUUAAAAAGAUGUCUCUCUUGCUCUUAUUUGAAAUCUUCCAUAUUUUUUGCGGGUAAGAUAAAAUAAAUCAUGGUAUAUUAUUUUUUAUGUUAAGUUUUUUUUUCCAACUAGAUCAUGGUUCAAUUUGCUAGUUAGUACUAAUUAAAUUACAGUUUAUUUAUAGUUUUUUUUUUUUUUUUUUACAUUCAAAGGAGAGCAAAGCUAUUGAAUUUCAAAGCCCUUUUUAGAAAUCUUUCAAGAUGAAGAUGACAUCUACACCAUGAUUUCUUUUUUAACCGGUAACGAUAUGGAAUUAUGGACGCCAUAUUGAGACAAAGCAAAAGGAAUAAGAGCUCUUGGAAAGACAGCAUAUAAGAAUUUACCCCUAAUCAAUAGAAAUUGAUGGAAAAGCCAUAGAUAUUUGACUGGUUCCAGCUCAUAUUUUGUUUGUUUUUUAGUUUCAAAAAUAUUUUUAAAAAUAUUAAUUUUUUUUUAUUUUAAAUAACGUUUUUUUAUAGUGGUAGAUUGUUUUAAUAUACUGAUGCUAAAUAUAAUUUUUUAAAAAUAAAAAAAAUAUAUUUUUAAAUAAAAAAAUACUUUAAAAAAUAACUAUUAUUUCAUUAACGGUCAAAAUGUUAUUAUACGCUAUUACACUCCCAAUCAAAAUGUUAUUAUACUUUAAUAUAGCUUGUUUUAAUCACAAGAGUAUGUAUUGUGCUUUUGUAAGAAUAUGCUCAGUACCAAUAGCAGCCACUAAUCAUCCCCAUCCCAAGCCCUGAAACCACCGUAGAAAUCAGCUCCAUUUCAGUUCAUAAAUCACACCAAAUAGUUCCCACUAUAUGAUUGACCGCGCUACGCUGUUGAUUAAGUUAAAUAUUUUUUGAACGAAAAAAAAAAAUUACAUGUUACUAAUGUGUUUUUUUCUAACGGAAAAAAAUUAAAUUCUAUGAGGAUUUACCUGAUGUAAUUCGGUUGACUUUACUGGUCAUAAAACAAUUCAUACAACCAGUAAAAACAAAUUUUGACUAAAUAAAAUUUCAAGAUGAUAUAUUUUUUUAAUAUUAAAAUAACAACAUAGUUGAUUGAUCUUGGACAAUCCGGGUUAACGUGUUAAAUCUAUGACCUAGGUUAUGAGACUAUAAUAAUCCUAUAGAAAGCAAAUCAAAAUAAAUUAUUAAGUCUAAUUACCAAUCAAUCCAAUGUUGAAUGAUGAAAUUGAAAAAAUUAAAAAAGGACCUAAAAAAACAACUCGGGUUAACAUGUCAAACUUGCAACCCGGAUCAUAAGAUCGAGAUAACCUCAUGAAAAAUAAAUUGAAAUAAAUUACAAACACUACAAGAUUUCACAGUUUUACCGACGGAAAUAUUCCGUCGGUCUGUGAUUAAGAUUUCAUCGGUAAUUUAUUUACCGACGUCUUCACCGACAGAAUACGUCCGUCGGCUUUCCUUUCGUCGGUAAUACCAUAGUCUGUCACUAUAUUGGUUGGAAAAAUAAAAAAACAUUUGCCGAUGGUUUUACAGACGGAAAUUGCGCGCCAAAAAAAAGUUUCCCGCUUGAAAUAUACCGACGGAUUUAUCCCGUCGGUGAUAGUGUGACAUACCGACGGAUUCAUACCGUCGGUAAAUUUGUCGGUGAGUGUUUGGAAUACCGACCGAAUAUAUCUAUCUGUAAAUUUGUCGGUAAUUGUGGCAGGCACUGUAAAAUACAGACGGAUUAAGUCUGUCGGUAAAGUUGUCGGUGAGUCUGUAAUACCGACCGAAUAUAUCUGUCUGUAAAUUCAUCAGUGAUGGUGGCAGCUACUGUCAAAUGCCGACGGAUAUAUUCCGUCGGUAAAACCCUCUGUGAUUAUUUUUAAAUAUGUUUUAAAAAAAGUAUUUAGAAUACAUAAUAUAAAAUUAUAUAAAUUAAGGGUAAUAAAAAACCAAUUAUGCAAAUAAAAUUUUUAUUAAACAUAAAAAAAGAAAUAAAAUUAAAUAAUAUUCAUUACAAACUGAAUGUGUUUUAAAAAAAAUGUUAAAUUAACUAUUAAAGUUAAAUAAUAUUCAUUACAAAUUAACAUAAUGGUGGAGCUGGAGGAGGAGGAGGAGGAGGAGGCUGGUUGUUGUACGACCAAAAAGGAGGGGGCGCACAUGUAUCACCACUAUGUGAUGCCAUGUUCAUGACAAAUUCGCGAAGCUGGUCAUGCUCCGCUUUUUGUUAUGCAUACAGUUGUGUAUGCUCCACUUUGAGUUGUGCAUACCGUUGUUCAUGCUCCGCUUUGAGUUGUGCAUGCUCCGCUUUGAGUUGUGCAUGCUCCGCUGAUAGGUGGUCGUAUUUUUCGGUGAGCUGAGCCGUGUAUUGCUGCAAGGCCACAAACUCCUUAGAUUGGGUGCUCGAUACUGUUUGGGAGCUUCCAACGGUUGAAACACUACGGGCCGCCCGCAAGUUCUCGGUCGUAGUGUUGGAGAGCCCGUAAACCCGAUUUUUAUCGGGUCCACCAGACGAUCCAACCUCCAUCCAUAAAUCCGGAUCGAGUUCCAGAAGGGUCAAAGGAUUGUCCCCAUAUCUCUCCCUCAACCGGCUAUUAUAUAUCUCUUGAAAAUAAAAAAAAAUAAUCAUCAUAUUCAAUUCAAUAAAAAUAAUAACUUACAAAAUAAAAUGGUUGAACAAACAUACCACAAAGUGUUGAGCACGGUUGUCAACGAACUGUUGCGCCCCCUUUUGGCGGUCUUGACUCCGCACGUGCGUCUCCACAAAUAGCUCAAUCGGGCUCGGCUCACGUCCAAGAGACGUAGCCUAUAAUGAAAAAAGAUUAAUUAACAACAAAUUAAUCUAACGAUAUAUUUCAUUUAAAUUAAUCUUACCAUCCGUUUCGCAUGUGCAGCAAACGGAACGGAGCCGCUGGUGUGCGUUGUCACCGGACUGUGAGCGUUGUGUGAACUGCUCAAAUGUCACGUGCUCAAGAUAGUGCAGCCAUAUAUCUUCCGGGAUGUAUAUCGGUUUGAAAUCCCUCCAAAUUGCCACGUCGUUCCAGCCUUGGAGACCCCUAUCUCUCGCCGUUUUUUUGCCUUUUUUUAUGAUUUAUACCAAAAAUCACGCAACCUACUUCCAUAGCGAGAAAUUAGAAGUUGAAAUUUUUUUUUUCUAAAAAAAUCUUGUAUUGUUUUCGAUGUUACCUAGUUGCCGCAUGAUUUUCCCACACCCUCCUCACAACUUUGUCAUGCGCCCUGUCCCAGGCGAAUUUGUGCUGUGUAUAAAUAAUUAGAUAAAUAAAAAUAAUAAUUUAUUUACAAUUAUAUUAAUAAAUUAUUAGAAAUAAGCUAGAAAUUAGAAAUUAACACCAACCUCAAAUCUGUUAAACCAUGAAUCGAUUCGAGGUAUCCAUUCAGGAUGUCUAGAUACCUGACUCUAUUGAAAUAAUGGAAUCUCCAUCGACGAUUUAAACGCCAAUGACAUUAUUCGGGUGGCCUCAAUGUUUGUGAACCUGAAAAUAAAUUAAAUUCAUGAAAUAUUGAUUAGUUGUUCAUAAAUUAUUUUGUAAUUUAAAAGAAAAAACUAAAACCUUAACAAACUUACAUUGAAAGGUCGUCCUUCCACUGUGCCUCAUACUUACGGGUGAACUGAUUCCGCUGCGAAGGCAUGCCACUUCUGCGCUGUGAACCCGUGUUGGAAGAGGCAGCAUCGGUUGACGGUGCAGGUGGCGUAGGUGCCUCUUCUUGAGAGGCACCUAAGGAUACGUUAUCCUCGCUGCUAGAAGAACUAGCUGCGACCAUACGUGAGCGACCAGCUUUGGUUUUCGUUCUACGCAUCUACACAAUUGUAUACAAAUAAUUAUAUAAUUAACUUCGAAUGUUAAAAAAAAUUCGACAGCACCUCCCCUAUACUAGAUACUACCCAAAUCCACAAACCUGUAAAUAUUGACAAAAGCCACAACCAAUUGACUCCAUCUAUACUAAUAUUAUAUAUAACAUAACAUCUAUACAUAUAACAUUCAUACUAAUUACAAGGUAAAUUCAACAUUAACAGCAUAUUCAAUCAUUAUAUAAAUACAAAUAAUAAAAAAUAUUCAAUAAAUUCAAAAAAAACUCUAGACUAACAAUUAAAAUUAAUGCAAAUAAUUAAACACAAAUCAUGCAAUAAUGUAGUAAAAUUACUAAUUAUUCCAACAUAUUCAAUUACUUAUUCUAAGAUACAUUCAACAUUAACAAUUACAAUUCAACAAAUUAUUCAAUCAUUAUAUAAAUACAAACAAUAAAAAAUAUUCAAUAAACUAAAAAAAAACUCUAGACUAACAAUUAAAAUUAAUGCAAAUAAUUAAACACAAAUCAUGCAAUAAUGUAGUAAAAUUACUAAUUAUUCCAACAUAUUCAAUUACUUAUUCUAAGAUACAUUCAACAUUAACAAUUACAAUUCAACAAAUUAUUCAAUCAUUAUAGAAAUACAAACAAUAAAAAAUAUUCAAUAAAUUCAACAAAAACUCUAGACUAACAAUUAAAAUUAAUGCAAAUAAUUAAACACAAAUCAUGCAAUAAUGUAGUAAAAUUACUAAUUAUUCCAACAUAUUCAAUUACUUAUUCUAAGGUAAAUUCAAUAGUAACAAUUACAAUUCAACAAAUUAUUCAAUAAUUAUGCCAUUACAACAAUAAAAUAUAUUCAAUAAAUUCAAAAAAAAAAACACUAUAGACUUUAGGAAUGAAACAUGCUUACCUUAAUAAUGUGUUGAUUUCAAGACUUUAUCUACAUUAUAAAAAUACACCAAAACAAAAAACACAAAAAAAAAAAAUAGCUAAAACAAAAAAAAAACCCUUAAAGUAAAUGAAAUAGAGGAAACACAUACCUUUUAAUCUGAUGAAGAUUCACAAGAACACUUGCUAGAGAUUGUAGGUGAAAGCCUUGAAGAAAUCAGAGGAAAAAAUUCGAAAUUGAAGGUAAAGAACGGAAGAGAUGAAAAAAUGAACUGAAGGGGCGGUCGCUGGGAUUUAUAGGGUAGUUUUACCGAUGGUAAAUAAAAAAAAUAUUAUUUUAAUUUAUUCCGUCGGUGACAUUCAAAAAUCCGUCGGUAAUUUUUGAAUUUUGCACCAACAUUUUUAAUUACCCUCCAUAUUUUUCGCGUUCCGUCGGUAAGUCCGUCAAAAAACUCACGCGGUCAGAGAUGCAUUUAAUACACCGCCCUUUGGAAUUCGCGCAGUCCGUCGGUGAUUUUGUCAGUAAUAUUAUCUGCCGACAACUUACCGACAGUCUUUAAUCCGUCAGUAAAUUCGUCGGUGAUUGUGGCAUUUCAAGUGAUUAUUUUCGAACUCUCUGUGAAAUGCCGACGGACCUUAUUCCAUCGGCAUGGAUGUCGGUAAUUAUGGCAUUUCAAGUGAUUAUUUUCGAACUCUCUGUGAAAUGCCAACGGACCUUAUUCCAUCGGUAUGGACAUCGGUAAGUGUACAAGAAAAAUUAUAUUUGUAUUGCCUAUUUACCUUCCUGCAAACACUUAAAUGAUAAACUGUCCAUCGUACAAAACAAUAACAACAGUGCUUAAACAAUACAUAUUUCGUGUUACAAAAUAUAUCAUCCAUAAUCUAUAUUAUAUGAAAAAAAGGGUUUUACAUAGGGCUUCAUUCUGAUAGUUAGUCAGAAUUUUCUUCUUCUUCAUCAUCAAUUGAAUAGUCAUCACCUUCAUCGCAAUCUUCAAUAUGGUCAUCAUCUUCAUAGACAUUUGCUUGUCCGCUAGAGCUCAAAACAACAUUCAACUCCUCUGCGUCAACAUCAACAAGACUAUCAUCAAAAACACGAAAAUUUGAUUUUUCUUCCAAGUCAAGCGAAGGAGUAACUCGAUAUAGUUCAACCAACUCAUUAACUUGAAAGACUUCAUCUCGCACACUUGUGUCUUCGUUCUCAUCCUGAACAAGCUCGACACGACCCCUGGGUUUCGUUUUUACAACGGACACCCAAUCCACUCUGGUUGAUCCUUUCUAAAAGAAGGGGUGCAUGUGUAAUAAACUUGUUGACAUUGCUUUGUGAAAACAAAGACAUCGUUUACGUUGCGGAGUCUAGCUUUUAAGUUGAUUUCAACCAGACCAUAGUGCGGAUCAACUUUGAUUCCUUUGUCACUCAUGUCAUACCAAUAGCAUUUGAAUAAAAACACUCUAUUCUGCUCGCUAUGAUAUUGCAGUUCGACGACCUCUUCUAAUAUACCAUAGUAGUCAACUUCUAACUCACUACCAGUCGAUCCCUUAACACAAACACCGCUGUUGUAUGUCUUUCUACCAUGUCCGUAUUCUUCAGUAUGGAAAACAAAUCCAUUGACAAAAUACCCGUUGUAGCACUUAACUUUUCUUUCAGGGCCUAGGCUUAGUGAAGACAAUGACUUAGCAGCACCCCUUCUCAUUUGAUAAACCUUGUAUAUAAUGUACAUCAAUGAACAAUAAACGAGAAUCACGUAAUGACAUGCAUACAAUAAUUUUUCAAGUGAGAAUGAGUUUGUGAUAGUGCUUUCAUGUGUUCUGAACCAUGUAGCAAAUUGUUCAUUUUAUAAUUGAAAGAUCUGGGAUUCGGUCAGCUGUGAGUUAUUGGACAACAAAUAUUGUCGAUGUUCCCUACAAGUGGUAAUGAGUGUAUUAUAUUACAAUAUCUAAUUAACAAUAUAUUAUUGACAAAGUUUAAUUAGUAUUACACAUAUAUACACUUACUGAAUAAAAGGCCUCAGCUCAUCACAUUUAAAUAGAACAUAAUUGUGUGCUUGUUUGAACUCUAUUUCUGACAAAUAUCUUUCUCUUACGACAUUUUUAGGUGUGGGUCGUCCAGGAUUGGAGAAUAUUGACAAGUUCCCACUAGAAGACACUUCACCGCCAUCAUUAUCCCGUGGAACGCGAUUGAUUCUCGUUCUCAGAUUAGGUUCGAAAUAGUACAAGAUAAAUGUUGAGAUCUCCUCAACAAUAUAGGCCUCACAUAUCGAAGCCUCAACAUGCGCCUUGUUCUUAACCUUUUUCUUGAGAUUGAACAAGUAGUUGCAUUGAAUUAAUCAAGUAUUUUCAAUGAAGAAAAACAAAGAAAAUACUUUUAUAUAUGAAUUACAUUGCAACUGUAAUAUGUAACCGUUCGAAUGGGUACAUCCAUCUAUACUGGACCAGUCAUCCAACUUUUGCCUCGAACGGUAGAUGUAUGGGGAGAUGCUCCAUUGAGUCAAAAAAUGAUGGAGGGAAUAUCAUCUCAAGUUUGCAUAGUGUCUCAACGAUAUUCGUUUCAAGCCUCUCAAUGUGAUCAACAUUCAACUUGCUGGAGCAUAAAUCUCUCAGUAAAUGACUGAUCUCCGUGAGUGCAUUCCAUAUCCCUUUGGAAACAAAUCACGAAAAGCUAAUGGGAUGAGUGUUUGCAUAAACACGUGGCAGCCAUGACUCUUUACUCCAUACAAUCUGCAUUCCUCUAUAUUAACCAGCCUUGAUAUGUUCGAGGCAUGUCUAUCCGGAAAACGCAGACUAUUAAGCCAUUUAUAGACUAGUAGUUGUGUGUUUUUCUCUAACACGAAGUUUGCUCUUGGUUUUGCGACCCGUGACUCAUCACAAACCAACUUCAUAUUUUUACGGUUACAGAACAACGCUACAUCCAAUCUAGCCUUGAUGUUGUCAUUUGUCUUCCCCUUCACAUCCAUGACAGUGUUGAAAAUGUUCUCAAACAUGUUCUUUUCAAUGUGCAUGACGUCAAGGUUAUGGCGGAGAAGAUUGGUCUUCCAAUAAGGAAGCUCCCAAAAGAUACUUCGCUUUACCCAAUUAUGGGUCAAACCAAAACCAGAGAACUUCUGCUUACCUGAUUGGAGACCAAAGACAAUGUCACCGUAUAAUUUUACAACAUCAUGCAAUUCUUCACCAGAAAGAUACGGGGUGCAACAUCCUUUUCAACUCUACCAACAAAGAAAUCUUUUCUGUUCUUUCUGUACCUAUGAUUAUGUGGUAAGAAACGACGGUGACAGUAAAAAAAGAAGCUUUACCUCUGUUUUUUAGCGUGAAUGCCUUGUUGUUUUCCAUGCAGUAUGGACAUGCUAGUUUUCCAUGCGUGCUCCAACCAGAAAGCAUUCCAUAAGCUGGAAAAUCAUUAAUAGUCCACAUCAAAGCCGCUCUCAUAACAAAAUUCUGUUUCCUCGAGAUGUCAUAAGUCAAAGCUCCAGAGGACCACAACUGCGUCAACUCAUCAAUCAACGGACGAAGACAAACAUCUAUAUUCCACCCCGGAUUGCUCGGACCUGGUAUGACCAUAGAUAAAAACAUGAACUUCGGCCUCAUACACAUCCCCGGUGGCAAGUUAUAAACCGUCAGUAUGACCGACCAACAAGAAUAAGGAGCUGCAAAUGACCCGAAUGGGUUGAAUCCGUCUGUACACAACCCAAGACGCACGUUCCUUGAUUCAGCUGAAAAGUGAGGAUGCACACUAUUAAAGUGUUUCCACGCUUCGCCGUUAGAAGGAUGCACCAUCACUCCAUCAACCGCCUCAUGUGAUUGGUGCCAUGUCAUGUGCCCAGCAGUCCUUGGUGACAUGAAUAACCUCAUGUCAUGUGAUUGGGAAGUAUCUAAGUUUUUUAUAUGCCACUAGAGUCUUUCCCCUACCAGUUCUGGGUUUGUAACAAGAAUGCCCGCAUGUCAUGCACUCGGUCAUCUCAGUAUUUUCAAGGUAGUAUAACAUACAGAAGUUAGGGCACAUGUAAAUUUUAUGGUAUCCUAAACCAAGGGGUUGCAUCAUGAACUUCGCAGCAUAGAAGUUCUCUUUCAGCCUGUUCCCUUCAGGUAAAAUGCUUCUCGCCCAUUCAAUAAUCUUGUCAUACCCGGCCUCACUCAACCCGUGAUCUGACUUGAUGGUGAACACCUGUGCUACAGCCGAUAAUUUAUUGUGGUUCGUGCAACCACCCCAUAAUGGUUCGUCAGAAUCUUUCAACAAAUCAAAAAACCUAGCUGCAUCUGCAUUAGGUUCUUCUUCUAUAAUUGGACAUUGACUGACAUUACCUUGAUUCAUUCUCAUUACAUCCAUAACCAUAUUCCUGUAAGGAUUAAUGUUGUCAUUUGCCGCUUCAUGCACGUUGCUAGCACUAGAAGUUGACCCAACCACCCUUUCUUCCAUUCUCCUCCUACUAACAAAUACUUCUCUGUGUGCAUACCAAACUGGUAAUUCUCCAUAAACCCUUUGUGUAGAAGAUGCAUCGUUACAACAUCUGGAUACAUAUACUUUUUAUUUUGACACUUCCUGCACGGACACCUAAUACCACCUCCAGUAAAAUUUCUAGGAAUAGAUGUUGCAAAAUUAAUAAAACCCUGAACCCCGUUACAAUAAUCCAUCCUCCGCAAUCCUUGGGGUGAAUCUCGAUACAUCCAUGAACGAUCAUCCAUGACUUCUAUCGAAUCUCUAUAAAAUUAUGAUGACAACAUGUAUUAAUUAAUUAACUAUGUUAGGUAAAUAAAUUUGCAAAAAUAUUGGUUUACCUCGAGAUUAUCCAACAAGCUAAUUACAACUUCUCAUAAAUUUUAUUAUCAAUUAUCAACGUCCAUACAAAUUAAUACAUAUAUAUCAAUUUACGGAAAUUACAACUCCGCCAUACCAUUGAUGAUAAAAAUUAAAACUGACCUAUUAAAUAAGCUAUUAAUUAUUUCAAAACAACAUAUGUAAUUCGAUAAUUCAAUAAAGUUUCAACAAUUUACAAACAAAUACAAUCUUACAAAAUCUAAAACAAACCAGUACAAGUAUAAAAUUAUACAUUCAUAUACUACAAAUUUAUUUGAGAAAUAACAAUAAAACAUGUACAUCUACUAACAAAAUACAUAUACUAAAAAAACAAUAAAAACCGUGAUAUUUAGAUGUUAAAAUUUAAAAAGAUAGAAUUACUUACAAAAACUGAUAAAAAUCCGUCGGUAAAUCAGAACACAGAUGUUGUGACAAGAAGACUUCAAGAUAUAUGACUUGUUGUGUUGAGAAGAGGGAGAUUUUUUUUUUGGGGGGGCUGGUUGUUUGCAGUUGGGGAGAGUUGAGAUGAGGAAGAAGAAGGAAAAAUAGGGGAGGAUAGGGUCGAGUGGGAGGAGAUAUAUUAACUUUUUCCGACGGCUUCACUAAUGGAUAUUUCCGUCUAUGACUCCAUCGGCUAAUCUGUCAGCAAAAAGGGCACGUCACCAUACGGUGCUGUCGUUUUGAAUCUGUCGGUUAUUCUGUCGGCAGUUUCAUCAGUGAAUCGGUCGCGUCACCAUACGAGACUGACGUUUUGAAUCCCUCGGUGAGUCCGUCGGCAUUUCCAUCGGUGAAUCGGUCACAUCACCGUACGGAGCUGAUGUUUUGAAUCCCUCGGUAAAAAAUACCCCCAAUAACCUCCACGUCAGCGAACCACCUUUUUUUUAAAAAAAUUCUCAACAUUCCGUCCGUAAUUUCGUCGGUAUAUACCGAUGGAUGGUGGCCGUCGGUAGUUACAGAUGAAAUUACAGAUGGAGUAAAGUCUGUCGGUAACGGCGACCCCAAAUUACCGACAGAAUUAUUCCAUCGGUAAUUCCGUUGGUACUUAGCGAAUUUCUGGUAGUGAAAUUUCAAUCCCUAUCUAGCCCAAUAUUGAAAGACAAGAUUAAAAAAAGAAAUCAAUUAAAAAAAUAACAUAAAACAACCUGAAUCAAUCAACCAAACCCAUGACCCGGGUCAUCGAUUGAGAUAACCUUAUAGGAAAAAAAUAACCUGAUUUAACCCGGUUUAACUUGUCAAAUCUGUGACUUUGAUCUUGAGACUAAGAUAGCCCCAUACAGAGAAAGUCAAAACAAAUUAUAAAACUCGAUUCUCAAUCAUCUCUGUCGGACCAAAUGUUGAACGAUGAAAAUUAUAAAAAUUUUAAUUAAAAAAAUGACAUAUAAAAAUAAGUCAAGUUAACCCGAGUUAACUGUUAAGUACUAUUACCAAGUCAUGAGACCAUGAUAACCAAAUGAAAAACAAACCAAAAUAAAUUAUGAAGUCUAAUUCCCAAUUAAACAUAAUAUUAAUUGAUAAAAUUAGGGGGGGAAAGUCAAUUAAAAAAAGAGAAAAAAAAUGAGUCAAUUAGGUUAAAAAUAGAUUAUGAACCUUAAUUUCCAACCGAUCCAAUGUUGAAUGAUAAUUAGACCAAUAUAACCUCUUAGAAAGAAAAUAAAGAAAGGACCUGAUUUAACCAGGGUUAAAAUGCCAAAACCCAUGAACCUGAUCUUAAGACCAAGAUAUUGUCAUAAAAAGCAAAUCAAAAUAUAUUAUGAAACUCAAUUCUCAAUCGACCCAAUGUCGAAUGAUAAAAUUAAAAAAAAAAUCAAUUAAAUAAAAGAUACAAAAAAUAACUCGAGUUAACUCGGGUUAAUUCGUUAAGCAUUAUUCUCGUGUCAUGAGAUCAGGAUAAUCUAAUAAAAAGUAAAUAAAACAAAUCAUGAAGUUUAAUUCUCAAUCAAAUUAAUAUUAAAGGAUGAAAUUGGAAGAACAAAACUAAUUAAGAAAAAGAAAAACAAUCUGAGUCAAUUGGGUUAACCUGCCAAACCAGGUUAACUCAUCAAACCUGAGAUCCGUGUCAUGAAAGUGUGAUAACUAAAUAGAAUACAAAUUUAAUAUUUAAAAACUAAAUUAGAAAAAAAGAUUACUAGAAACUCCGUUUUAACUUGAAAAUCCAAUCCAAGAACAAUCUAGAAAAGAUCAAGCUAAAAAAAGAUAAAAGCAACUGUACCGGCACGUGAAACACUCGCACCGCAAAUCCACUUGCUUCCGGUCAUUCCGCGUCUCAUUCACGCGCCACAUUGGCAAUCUCACUUCCAGCAAUUUCUAGUCGAUUCCGGCAGCUUUCAAAAGUCAUUUUUGGAUCCAAAACAAUUUUUUUUUGUUUAUUUUUGUAUAAUUUGUAGCAUGUUAUUAUUGAAUUUUAUGUGUGUUGCAAAAUAUCUGAAGUGAUAUGGUUUGCGUGUGGCAACCCUCAAGAAAUAAAGUCCCCAUGAAUUUAUUUUUUAGUAUGAUAAUGUUGGAAUUAAUACCCUCCAAUGAGGUUCAGGAUGAUGAGUUGCCAGAGGUGUAAUGAUAUUCCAGUCAACUAAUAAUGUAAAUGCAAAUAGUUUUCGUAGUUUAUUUUUUAUAUAAAAAAAACAGCACUCAAUUAUUCAUCUGACUAACAUAUUACAUUCACGGCAUGUCACAAAAUCGACUUUGAGCGGCAUUUUCUUAAAAGUCAUAGUAUAAAAAUCCUUUAAAUUCACCAGUCACCUUCUAAAUCGCCAUCAACUCAGUAUUCUCUUCUCCUUUCUAGCCCCCAACUUACAUCAACACCAAUCUUGUAGGACACUGCAACGAAUUUGUGCCGCCUUGACAAACCAAAAAUACUGGACUAGUCCACUCCUGGCUCGAUUCGAACUCACAUCAACCCACCUUAACUUCAGAUCUUUAUUAAGAAUCCAAUUAGUGUGCUAACUGACAAGGGUGUAAUAAUGAAAUUUCUUAGAGAAUAAUAGUAAUAAUGUUGGGUUUGAUGCUGAUGGUGAUCUUCGUUGCCAUAGAAAAGUUAAGCCCCAUCGAACAAAUUUGUGUGUUGGGCGAUGGCCACUAUUCACCUACCGCAGCAUCAGAAAAUCCUGUCCUUGUAUCGAAUUUAUAUAACUAAGUUUUAAAAUAUUAGAGAAUCGCAAACUUUCUACCUGUAUAUAUAUCUCCUGGGUGCGUGGAUGUUUUUUGUAACUUGUGCUGGCUGUUGUGCUCUAGUUCAUAGACCAUCUAGGAGUGGCAGCAAUGGAGGGUGUGCGCAAACAUUAUGGUAUUUUGCUAGCAUCACUAGCUAUAAUCGCCGCGGCGUUACCGUGUUGUUCUUCACAAACAACUAGAGGGUUUCAAUUUAAUGUAAGCCAUACACAUGUCUUAGAGAUAUUAAACCUCUCUUAGGAGCCUUUUCAACCAAUAUAUAUAUAGAUACAUACACACACGCAAAUUUAAUACAAAUUUGUGUACGUUUUUAGGUUGAGUGGAAGAAGGUGACACGUUUGCUUACACCUUCUAAUGGUGAUUAUGCAGUAUUCAUGCCCAACCAUAACUGUUUUAUGAAGGUUGUUAGAAAAUAAUAUAAAUCAUAUCUUGAAUCUUACCUAAUAGUUUAAGUUAUUGGGUUGAGAUAAUUCUUUGACAUGGUAUUAGAGUCUUGAUGACCAAGCGGUCACGAGUUCGAAUCUCACCAUCCCCAUUUAUUUAAUAAAAAUUAAACACAAGUUAAUGUGAGUUUGUGUAAGUUUCAAGUUCAAAUGAAUUUCACUUGAGGGGGUGUGUUAGAGAAUAAUAUAAAUCAUAUCCUGGGAUCUCACCUAACAGUUUAAGCUAUUAGGUUGAGAUGAUUCUUCAACGAAGGUGAUAGUAUUCAUAUUAAGGUCAAAAAUCGGAUUGCUCAAAAUACUACCCUUCAUUGGUGAGUUUGGAUUCAUCCUAGUCUAAUUCAUAUUUUCCAAUGUCCGUAUAUGCAAGUAUUUUUUAACCAUAUGCUAAGAGUGGCACUGUAUGCCAUGUUGUCAUCAUUUUGGCUGCAGCAUAUGCUUCUCUCAUUGAAAACAAACGUGUGUUUGAAAGGAUAGUAACUUUUGUUUUUGAAUUUUUUUUUAUAAAAGUAGAUAUAUCUUAAAAAAAUAUUAAAUUAAUUUUUUAAUGUUUUUAUUUUAUUUUAAUGUAUUAACAAAAAUAAAAUAAAAAACAAAUGUUAUUUUGAAGUAUUUUCAACAAAAUAUAUACACUACACACCAUAAUACCAAUUUCACACAAAGUAAUAACCCAAAAGAACCUUGCAGCUUUGGUGCAUAGGGAAAUGUAUCAAGUUCAAACCCUAAAAUGAUUGAUUAAAUUAUUGAACCGAAUUAUAGGGUAAGUGAGCGAUUCGGGUGGUUGUCUUAAUGAAUCAUUCUCAUCACCAGCAUCGUCAUUAUUACAAGAAAAUAGGAAGAGUUUGUGAUGUUUAAACGAUAAAACUAAGAUUAACACUAAUCACUAAGGCUCUUUCUAUCGACUAGUUGAUUCAGUAAUCUUGGUGGCCUUCCUGUCUUCCUCUCCCUUGAUUUUUAUUAUCUAAUAUAUAAUUCAAUUUAAAAAUUUAAAUUAUUAUAUAAAAUAUUAAGAUAUAAUUUAUAUUAAUUUCUAAUAUUUUUUUAAAUAAAAGUUUUUUAACUUAAAAUUUAUACAGAUUUAUAAUAUUUUAUAUUUAAUUUUUAUCAAAUAAAUAAAAAAACUAAGAAUCAAACUAAUCUUUAAAAUUAUGAUAUUAUUUUAAAAAAUCCAUUGAAAAAGAAUCAAGAUAAGAUUUAAAUCUACUGAUUAGAAAAAGCUGAGACGUAUAUAUCCAUGUGGUAUGACAACCGGCAUUUUCUUUAGCAACACAUGUAUUGGAGUUUAUCUGACACGUUUGACAAACUAGUUCAUGUUUGUGUUCGAAAUUUGAACGUAACAGGCAUGGUGUGAGGCAGCUAAGAACAGGAUGGGCUGAUGGACCAGCUUACGUUACCCAGUGCCCCAUCAGAGGAGGCCAGUCCUACACCUACAAGUUCACUGUUACUGGCCAAAGAGGGACACUACUAUGGCAUGCUCACUAUGCUUGGCAAAGGGCAUCUGUUUACGGUGCUUUCAUCAUCUACCCUCGCAUCCAAUAUCCAUUCUCACACCGAAUUCAAGCUGAAAUCCCCAUCAUUUUUGGUAAUGAUUAAAUGUUUACUCUUUUCAAAGAAGAUAGAGAGAGUCUAAUAUUGUUAGUUAAUUCUUGACGUGUUUUCCGUGUAAUAAAAUGCAGGAGAAUGGUGGAAUGGGGAUCCAGAUGAAGUUGAAAAAACAAUGCUGUUAACAGGAGGAGGGCCAGACAGUUCCAAUGCCUACACCAUAAAUGGAUUACCAGGACCUCUCUAUCCUUGCUCUAACCAAGGUAAUUGUAAGACCACUGUCUCUCUUUACAUUUCUUAGCACUACAAAAAAUGAAGAUGACCUGAAAUGGUUAAUUUGCUAAUUUUAUUUUGCAGAUACUUUUAUUCAGACGGUGGAAUAUGGCAAGACCUAUUUGCUUAGGAUCAUCAAUGCAGCUCUAACAAAUGAGCUCUUCUUUGCGAUAGCGAAACAUACGUUGACAGUGGUGGAGGUUGUUGCAGUCUACACUAAACCCUUCGCAACCACUUCCAUUAUGAUUUCUCCUGGACAAACCACUACUGUUUUAAUGACUGCAAACAAAGUUCCAGACUUCACAGGCAUGUUUGUCAUGGCAGCAAGGCCUUAUCUUACCUCUGUGUUCCCCUCCAACAACUCCACCACAAUCGGCUUCUUGAGGUACAAAAAUGCAAGGACCUGGAAAGGAAAAUCCCCAGUUGAUCCGAGCAGCCUUAAACUUCACAACCUUCCAGCAAUGGAAGACACCGCAUUUGCCACAAAAUUUUCGGACAAGAUUAGAAGUCUUGCAUCUUCUCAGUACCCUUGUAAUGUGCCUAAAACAAUUGACAAACGAGUGAUAACAACUAUAAGUCUUAACCUUCAAGACUGUCCAGAAAACAAAACCUGCUCGGGUUUCAAGGGCAAGAGUUUCUUUGCUUCAAUGAACAACCAAUCAUUCGUUCGCCCUUCCAUCUCAAUAUUGGAAAGCUAUUACAAGAACCUCACCAAAGGUAGUUUCUCCUCUGGUUUCCCAGAAAAACCACCAAAUAAUUUUGAUUAUACUGGUGGGGAUUCAUUUACUCAAAACAUAUAAUUUUGAUUCGGCACGAAACUUUUAGUACUGCCUUAUGGCACAAACAUAGAAAUUGUGUUGCAAGACACAAGUUUUCUUAAUUUGGAGAACCAUCCAAUUCAUGUCCAUGGUCACAACUUCUUCAUUGUUGGGAGUGGAUUUGGAAACUUUAACGAAGCCAGGGAUCCGAAAAGAUACAAUCUUGUCGAUCCUCCAGAAAGGAAUACAGUGGCAGUUCCAAGUGGGGGAUGGGCUGCUAUUAGGAUCAAGGCAGAUAAUCCAGGGGUUUGGUUCAUACAUUGUCACCUUGAGGAACAUACUUCAUGGGGUCUAGCAACUGGCUUUAUUGUCCACAAUGGUCAGGGACCAUCUCAAAGCUUGCUUCCCCCCCCCCCCUCAUGAUCUCCCCUCCUGCUAAUUAAUCGUCUUCUUAAGCUACUAGUCAAUGCCUCGCUGCAUUUAAUAUGCUUAAUUACUUUUACAUGUUAUUAUUGAAUUUUAUGUGUGUUGCAAAAUAUCUGAAGUGAUAUGGUUUGCGUGUGGCAACCCUCAAGAAAUAAAGUCCCCAUGAAUUUUUUUUUUUGUGUGAUAAUGUUGGAAUUAAUACCCUCCAAUGAGGUUCAGGAUGAUGAGUUGCCAGAGGUGUAAUGAUAUUCCAGUCAACUAAUAAUGUAAAUGCAAAUAGUUUUCGUAGUUUAUUUUUUAUAUAAAAAAAACACCACUCAAUUAUUCAUCUGACUAACAUAUUACAUUCACGGCAUGUCUCAAAAUCGACUGUGAGCGGCAUUUUCUUAAAAGUCACGAUAACAGUCCAUAAUUGUUAGCUACCUUGAGUGAUGAUUAUAGCAUACUGAUAUUGGAUCUCUAUCGGUGUGUAAUGGCGGUAGCUACCUUGAGUGAUUACGACAUAAACUAUUACAACACUUCUAAACACCCUUUAAAACACCAGUCACCUUCUAAAUCGCCAUCAACUCAAUAUUCUCUUCUCCUUUCUAGCCGCCAACUUACUUCAACACCAAUCUUGUAGGAAACUACAACGAAUUUGUGCCGCCUUGACAAACCAAGAAUACUGGACUAGUCCACUCCGGGCUUGAUUCGAACUCACAUCAACCCACCCUAACUUCAGAUCUUUAUUAAGAAUCCAAUUGGUGUGCUAAGGGACAAGGGAGUAAGAAUGAAAUUUCGUAGAAAAUAAUAGUAAUAAUGAUGGGUUUGAUGCUGAUGGUGAGUUUCCAUAGAAAGAAUAAUUUUAUGGAACAUAUUUUUUUUUGAGGAAAUUAUUGUUUCGUAAUUAUACAUUAGUAAGCAAGCACGGUUGGCUGGACUUGCACAAUUUGUCUGAACUUGGAACUCCGAAGCACUUCUUAUCAUUAUUAUCCUGUGUCAAUGGAGCAAUUAAUUAAGGCUUAAUGGUUAUGGCACUAUCCGAUGGUGUGCAGUCGUGUUUUUUAAAGAAGUUGAUUUUUUUUUAUUUAAAAUUAAUUUUUUAUAUGUUUUUAUAAUUGAUGUAUUAAUUCUAAAAAGAUUUUUUUAUGAAAUAAAAUAAAAUAUUAUUUUAAUAAAUUUUUAAAUAAAAAAAUAUUUUAAAUCAUAAUUACUAUCACAAUUCCAAACACAACACACUAUAUAUAUAUAUAUAUAUAUAUAUAUAUAUAUAUAUAUAUAUAUAUAUAUAUAUAUAUAUAUAACACCAAAGAAUUUUCAAUGUCUAAAAAUUUUCAAUGUCUAAAAAUUAGAGGAGGCCACUCCUACACCUACAAGUUCACUGUUACUGGCCAAAGAGGGACACUACUAUGGCAUGCUCACUAUGCUUGGCAAAGAGCAUCUGUUUACGGUGCUUUCAUCAUCUACCCUCGCAUCCCAUAUCCAUUCUCACACCCAAUUCAAGCUGAAAUCCCCAUCAUUUUUGGUAAUGAUUAAAUGUUUACUCUUUUCAAAAAAGAUAGAGAGACACAGACGAGUGUCUAAUAUUGUUAGUUAAUUCUUGACUUGUUUUAUGUGUAAUAAAAUGCAGGAGAAUGGUGGAAUGGGGAUCCAGAUGAAGUUGAAAAAACAAUGCUGUUAACAGGAGGAGGGCCAGACAGUUCCAAUGCCUACACCAUAAAUGGAUUACCAGGACCUCUCUAUCCUUGCUCUAACCAAGGUAAUUGUAAGACCACUGUCUCUCUUUACAUUUCUUAGCACUACAAAAAAUGAAGAUGACCUGAAAUGGUUAAUUUGCUAAUUUUAUUUUGCAGAUACUUUUAUUCAGACGGUGGAAUAUGGCAAGACCUAUUUGCUUAGGAUCAUCAAUGCAGCUCUAACAAAUGAGCUCUUCUUUGCGAUAGCGAAACAUACGUUGACAGUGGUGGAGGUUGUUGCAGUCUACACUAAACCCUUCGCAACCACUUCCAUUAUGAUUUCUCCUGGACAAACCACUACUGUUUUAAUGACUGCAAACAAAGUUCCAGACUUCACAGGCAUGUUUGUCAUGGCAGCAAGGCCUUAUCUUACCUCUGUGUUCCCCUCCAACAACUCCACCACAAUCGGCUUCUUGAGGUACAAAAAUGCAAGGACCUGGAAAGGAAAAUCCCCAGUUGAUCCGAGCAGCCUUAAACUUCACAACCUUCCAGCAAUGGAAGACACCGCAUUUGCCACAAAAUUUUCGGACAAGAUUAAAAGUCUUGCAUCUCCUCAGUACCCUUGUAAUGUGCCUAAAACAAUUGACAAACGAGUGAUAACAACUAUAAGUCUUAACCUUCAAGACUGUCCAGAAAACAAAACCUGCUCGGGUUUCAAGGGCAAGAGUUUCUUUGCUUCAAUGAACAACCAAUCAUUCGUUCGCCCUUCCAUCUCAAUAUUGGAAAGCUAUUACAAGAACCUCACCAAAGGUAGUUUCUCCUCUGGUUUCCCAGAAAAACCACCAAAUAAUUUUGAUUAUACUGGUGGGGAUUCAUUUACUCAAAACAUGA
RNAcentral lists this long non-coding RNA (30463 nucleotides) under Populus trichocarpa (black cottonwood). RNAcentral's name for it is "long non-coding RNA (PTRI_LNC003426)". The record is from RNAcentral. Lineage: Eukaryota; Viridiplantae; Streptophyta; Magnoliopsida; Malpighiales; Salicaceae.